UAUUCUGCCCCAUGGGGAAGGAUGAGAAGCUUCGACUAAGGUUCGACUCGAGCGCCAGCGAGAGAACGUUGCCACAGGCAACGGCCCGAAGGGCGAGGCGCUUUAGCGCCGAGUAAUCCUUCCCCCACCACUG
Molecule: small RNA, 133 nt
Filed under: Klebsiella pneumoniae
Lineage: Bacteria; Pseudomonadati; Pseudomonadota; Gammaproteobacteria; Enterobacterales; Enterobacteriaceae
Also listed under: 1 other name
Description: RtT sRNA
Rfam family: RtT RNA
About the family: This family represents a bacterial cis-regulatory element known as RtT RNA. The exact function of RtT is unknown although it is thought that it may be involved in changing the cellular response in relation to amino acid starvation.
Source: RNAcentral